GGAGCUAUAGCUCAGCGGGAGAGCAUCUGCUUGACGUGCAGAGGGUCGUGGGUUCAAUCCCCUCUGGCUCCACCA
RNAcentral lists this transfer RNA (75 nucleotides) under Tenericutes bacterium HGW-Tenericutes-1. RNAcentral describes it as "tRNA-Val". It matches the Rfam family "tRNA". Rfam says of the family: Transfer RNA (tRNA) molecules are approximately 80 nucleotides in length. Their secondary structure includes four short double-helical elements and three loops (D, anti-codon, and T loops). Lineage: Bacteria; Bacillati; Mycoplasmatota. The record is from RNAcentral.